UACAGAGGUGGCAAGCGUUGUUCGGAAUUACUGGGCGUAAAGGGCGAGUAGGCGGCCUUCUAAGUCAGACGUGAAAUCCCCGGGCUCAACCCGGGAACUGCGUCCGAUACUGGAAGGCUUGAAUCCGGGAGAGGGAUGCGGAAUUCCAGGUGUAGCGGUGAAAUGCGUAGAUAUCUGGAGGAACACCGGUGGCGAAGGCGGCAUCCUGGACCGGCAUUGACGCUGAGGCGCGAAAGCCAGGGGAGCAAACGGG
RNAcentral lists this ribosomal RNA (253 nucleotides) under uncultured bacterium. Its description in RNAcentral is "partial 16S ribosomal RNA". It matches the Rfam family "Bacterial small subunit ribosomal RNA", at positions 524 to 776 of the family's 1533-position model. The record is from RNAcentral.